GUGGGGAAUUUUGGACAAUGGGCGCAAGCCUGAUCCAGCAAUGCCGCGUGCAGGAAGAAGGCCUUCGGGUUGUAAACUGCUUUUGUACGGAACGAAACGGUCCGGGUUAAUACCCUGGGCUAAUGACGGUACCGUAAGAAUAAGCACCGGCUAACUACGUGCCAGCAGCCGCGGUAAUACGUAGGGUGCAAGCGUUAAUCGGAAUUACUGGGCGUAAAGCGUGCGCAGGCGGUUUUGUAAGACAGACGUGAAAUCCCCGGGCUCAACCUGGGAAUGGCGUUUGUGACUGCAAAGCUGGAGUGCGGCAGAGGGGGAUGGAAUUCCGCGUGUAGCAGUGAAAUGCGUAGAUAUGCGGAGGAACACCGAUGGCGAAGGCAAUCCCCUGGGCCUGCACUGACGCUCAUGCACGAAAGCGUGGGGAGCAAACAGGAUUAGAAACCCGUGUAGUCC
This 450-nucleotide ribosomal RNA is filed under the name uncultured bacterium. RNAcentral describes it as "partial 16S ribosomal RNA". It matches the Rfam family "Bacterial small subunit ribosomal RNA", at positions 354 to 796 of the family's 1533-position model. The record is from RNAcentral.